This 464-nucleotide ribosomal RNA is filed under the name uncultured bacterium. RNAcentral's name for it is "partial 16S ribosomal RNA". It matches the Rfam family "Bacterial small subunit ribosomal RNA", at positions 28 to 507 of the family's 1533-position model. The record is from RNAcentral.
GACGAACGCUGGCGGCGUGCUUAACACAUGCAAGUCGAACGGUAAGGCCCCAGCUUGCUGGGGUACACGAGUGGCGAACGGGUGAGUAACACGUGGGUGACCUGCCCCGCACUUCGGGAUAAGCCUGGGAAACUGGGUCUAAUACCGGAUAGGACCGCACCGUGAGGGUGUGGUGGAAAGUUUUUCGGUGUGGGAUGGGCCCGCGGCCUAUCAGCUUGUUGGUGGGGUAAUGGCCUACCAAGGCGGCGACGGGUAGCCGGCCUGAGAGGGUGGACGGCCACAUUGGGACUGAGACACGGCCCAGACUCCUACGGGAGGCAGCAGUGGGGAAUAUUGCACAAUGGGCGGAAGCCUGAUGCAGCGACGCCGCGUGGGGGAUGACGGCUUUCGGGUUGUAAACUCCUUUCACCAUCGACGAAGGUUUUCUGACGGUAGAUGGAGAAGAAGCACCGGCUAACUACGUG